UACGGGGGGGGCAAGCGUUGUUCGGAAUUACUGGGCGUAAAGGGUCCGUAGGUGGCUUGCUAAGUCAGACGUGAAAUCCCCGGGCUCAACCUGGGAACUGCAUCUGUGACUGCAUCGCUGGAGUGCAGCAGAGGGGGAUGGAAUUCCGCGUGUAGCAGUGAAAUGCGUAGAUAUGCGGAGGAACACCGAUGGCGAAGGCAGCCCCCUGGGCCGACAUUGACGCUCAGGCACGAAAGCGUGGGGAGCAAACAGG
This 253-nucleotide ribosomal RNA is filed under the name uncultured bacterium. RNAcentral's name for it is "partial 16S ribosomal RNA". It matches the Rfam family "Bacterial small subunit ribosomal RNA", at positions 524 to 776 of the family's 1533-position model. The record is from RNAcentral.